AUUGAACGCUGGCGGCAGGCCUAACACAUGCAAGUCGAACGAGAGGCGGACGGGUGAGUAAUGUAUGGGAAACUGCCUGGUGGAGGGGGUUAACUACUGGAAACGGUAGCUAAUACCGCCUACCAUCAGCUGUGCCCAGAUAGGAUUCGCUAGUUGGAGGGGUAACGGCUCACCAAGGUGACGAUCCCUAGCUGGUCUGAGAGGAUGACCAGUCACACUGGAACUGAGACACGGUCCAGACUCCUACGGGAGGCAGCAGUGGGGAAUAUUGAACAAUGGGCGCAAGCCGGAUGCAGCCAUGCCGCGUGUAUGAAGAAGGCCUUCGGUUUGUAAAGUACUUUAAGCGGGGAGGCGUUACCCGCAGAAGAAGCACCGGCUAACUCCGUGCCAGCAGCCGCGGUAAUAC
This 406-nucleotide ribosomal RNA is filed under the name uncultured bacterium. RNAcentral's name for it is "partial 16S ribosomal RNA". It matches the Rfam family "Bacterial small subunit ribosomal RNA", at positions 30 to 526 of the family's 1533-position model. The record is from RNAcentral.